RNAcentral lists this ribosomal RNA (459 nucleotides) under uncultured bacterium. Its description in RNAcentral is "partial 16S ribosomal RNA". It matches the Rfam family "Bacterial small subunit ribosomal RNA", at positions 28 to 507 of the family's 1533-position model. The record is from RNAcentral.
GAUGAACGCUGGCGGCGCGCCUAACACAUGCAAGUCGAACGGCACCCCUCCUCGGAGGGAAGCGAGUGGCGAACGGCUGAGUAACACGUGGAGAACCUGCCCCCUCCCCCGGGAUAGCCGCCCGAAAGGACGGGUAAUACCGGAUACCCCGUGGUGCCGCAUGGCACCCCGGCUAAAGCCCCGACGGGAGGGGAUGGCUCCGCGGCCCAUCAGGUAGACGGCGGGGUGACGGCCCACCGUGCCGACAACGGGUAGCCGGGUUGAGAGACCGACCGGCCAGAUUGGGACUGAGACACGGGCCAGGCUCCUACGGGAGGCAGCAGUGGGGAAUCUUGCGCAAUGGGGGGAACCCUGACGCAGCGACGCCGCGUGCGGGACGGAGGCCUUCGGGUCGUAAACCGCUUUCAGCAGGGAAGAGUCAAGACUGUACCUGCAGAAGAAGCCCCGGCUAACUACGUG